RNAcentral lists this ribosomal RNA (252 nucleotides) under Escherichia coli. RNAcentral describes it as "partial 16S ribosomal RNA". It matches the Rfam family "Bacterial small subunit ribosomal RNA", at positions 1294 to 1533 of the family's 1533-position model. The record is from RNAcentral. RNAcentral also lists the same sequence under 1 other name. Lineage: Bacteria; Pseudomonadati; Pseudomonadota; Gammaproteobacteria; Enterobacterales; Enterobacteriaceae.
CGGAUUGGAGUCUGCAACUCGACUCCAUGAAGUCGGAAUCGCUAGUAAUCGUGGAUCAGAAUGCCACGGUGAAUACGUUCCCGGGCCUUGUACACACCGCCCGUCACACCAUGGGAGUGGGUUGCAAAAGAAGUAGGUAGCUUAACCUUCGGGAGGGCGCUUACCACUUUGUGAUUCAUGACUGGGGUGAAGUCGUAACAAGGUAACCGUAGGGGAACCUGCGGUUGGAUCACCUCCUUACCUUAAAGAAGC